Molecule: ribosomal RNA, 253 nt
Filed under: uncultured bacterium
Lineage: Bacteria
Description: partial 16S ribosomal RNA
Rfam family: Bacterial small subunit ribosomal RNA
Source: RNAcentral
GACGGAGGAUGCAAGUGUUAUCCGGAAUCACUGGGCGUAAAGCGUCUGUAGGUGGUGAUGCAAGUCACUGGUGCAAAACUCUGGCUCAACCGGAGGAAAGCCAGUGAAACUGCAUGACUAGAGUGUGGGAGAGGUAGAAGGAAUUCCCUGAGUAGCGGUGAAAUGCGUAGAUACAGGGAAGAACACCGGAGGCGAAAGCGUUCUACUGGAACACAACUGACACUGUGAGACGAAAGCUAGGUGAGUGAAUGGG